AGCAGUCGCCGCGGUAAUACGGAGGAUCCAAGCGUUAUCCGGAAUCAUUGGGUUUAAAGGGUCCGUAGGCGGUCUUGUAAGUCAGUGGUGAAAGCCCAUCGCUCAACGGUGGAACGGCCAUUGAUACUGCAGGACUUGAAUUAUUGGGAAGUAACUAGAAUAUGUAGUGUAGCGGUGAAAUGCUUAGAGAUUACAUGGAAUACCAAUUGCGAAGGCAGGUUACUACCAAUUGAUUGACGCUGAUGGACGAAAGCGUGGGUAGCGAACAGGAUUAGAUACCCGAGUAGUCCCUGUCUCUUAUAC
RNAcentral lists this ribosomal RNA (303 nucleotides) under uncultured bacterium. Its description in RNAcentral is "partial 16S ribosomal RNA". It matches the Rfam family "Bacterial small subunit ribosomal RNA", at positions 507 to 807 of the family's 1533-position model. The record is from RNAcentral.